This 746-nucleotide ribosomal RNA is filed under the name Bacillus cereus. RNAcentral's name for it is "bacterial SSU rRNA". It matches the Rfam family "Bacterial small subunit ribosomal RNA", at positions 59 to 785 of the family's 1533-position model. Lineage: Bacteria; Bacillati; Bacillota; Bacilli; Caryophanales; Bacillaceae. The record is from RNAcentral.
CAGUCGAGCGAAUGGAUUAAGAGCUUGCUCUUAUGAAGUUAGCGGCGGACGGGUGAGUAACACGUGGGUAACCUGCCCAUAAGACUGGGAUAACUCCGGGAAACCGGGGCUAAUACCGGAUAACAUUUUGAACCGCAUGGUUCGAAAUUGAAAGGCGGCUUCGGCUGUCACUUAUGGAUGGACCCGCGUCGCAUUAGCUAGUUGGUGAGGUAACGGCUCACCAAGGCAACGAUGCGUAGCCGACCUGAGAGGGUGAUCGGCCACACUGGGACUGAGACACGGCCCAGACUCCUACGGGAGGCAGCAGUAGGGAAUCUUCCGCAAUGGACGAAAGUCUGACGGAGCAACGCCGCGUGAGUGAUGAAGGCUUUCGGGUCGUAAAACUCUGUUGUUAGGGAAGAACAAGUGCUAGUUGAAUAAGCUGGCACCUUGACGGUACCUAACCAGAAAGCCACGGCUAACUACGUGCCAGCAGCCGCGGUAAUACGUAGGUGGCAAGCGUUAUCCGGAAUUAUUGGGCGUAAAGCGCGCGCAGGUGGUUUCUUAAGUCUGAUGUGAAAGCCCACGGCUCAACCGUGGAGGGUCAUUGGAAACUGGGAGACUUGAGUGCAGAAGAGGAAAGUGGAAUUCCAUGUGUAGCGGUGAAAUGCGUAGAGAUAUGGAGGAACACCAGUGGCGAAGGCGACUUUCUGGUCUGUAACUGACACUGAGGCGCGAAAGCGUGGGGAGCAAACAGGAUUAGAUAC